Long non-coding RNA from Gasterosteus aculeatus aculeatus (three-spined stickleback), 472 nucleotides. The record is from Ensembl. Lineage: Eukaryota; Metazoa; Chordata; Actinopteri; Perciformes; Gasterosteidae.
GCAAAAAUAAAAAUAACCACCAAAGAAGAAGACGUCGAAGCUCUCGUGUCGUGUUUUGCAUUUCCGAGGAGGUCUGUAGUAAGAUAUCAUCACCGACUAAUCUGUCUGUACACAAUAAAUUACAAUCCAUCAGAUCCAGAACAAACCAAGGACCCGUCAAGCACGUCGGCCGCCCUGCGCUCCGUCCCUCAAUGUGACCUUUCCUUUUUCCUCCUGAACCAUCAGAGGAAGUCUUCAGCAAACCUGCCCAUCCCUUGAAAAAAACCCAGGGCAUCUGUCAUUCCGGAUAAAUGAAAGCUACAAAGCAACAUUAACCGGAGGUAGAGAAUAAAGAACAUAACUCAGACUUUGGUACGUUACUGGUGUCUUCCUCUGAGGGUCUCGCUGCACAAAGGAUUCCGGGAGCCGACCCAAAAGACCCCAGCGGAGGAAAACAUCUGUCCCCCCUUCGCAUGACUGAUCAUAGAGUGGC